GGUCUUGGUCUCAACCUCAC
RNAcentral lists this ribosomal RNA (20 nucleotides) under Crotalus concolor (midget faded rattlesnake). RNAcentral's name for it is "Crotalus oreganus concolor (midget faded rattlesnake) partial 12S ribosomal RNA". Lineage: Eukaryota; Metazoa; Chordata; Lepidosauria; Squamata; Viperidae. The record is from RNAcentral.